CAGCCACCGCCGCCCGUCGCCUUCGUCUUCUUCGUCUCCCCAAACGACGCCGCACCUGCCCACAGCCGCACAUACACCGCCCUUCCGCACCACCUCACUGCCUUCGUCUUCUUCUUCAUAUUGUAAGUUUUUCUUAGGGUUAUUGUUAUUUACUGAUCAAGGAGCCUACCUAUUCACAAGCUGAGUGGAUAUAUAUCACCAGAUAUCGGGAAACUACAACAGUUGCAAUUCUUGUAUGAAUCCCUAUCUCCACUUUCUCUAAAAUGCUUACAGUUGUUGCAAAUCUGCUAACACAAUGUUGUAUUUGCAGAUCACUUCAUGACAACAACUUUUAUGGGGAAAUACCAGUUGGGAAACUGUACAAUGCUGAAGUCUUUGUUUUUGCAGGGUAAUUAUUUGAGUGGACUGUUUCCUGAUCAACCGAGAAACUUUCCUGAUCUUGAAAAUAUGGAUCUCUCUAGUAACUCUCUCAGUGGAAAUGUUCCACAAUCACUUGGGAAGAUAGACAAGCUCAUAUCAUUCAA
Ipomoea triloba (trilobed morning glory) is the source of this 524-nucleotide long non-coding RNA. RefSeq lists it as uncharacterized. The record is from RefSeq and is a predicted model, not a curated record. The transcript has 3 exons. NCBI's taxonomy places the organism in Eukaryota, Viridiplantae, Streptophyta, Magnoliopsida, Solanales, Convolvulaceae.